Molecule: ribosomal RNA, 1173 nt
Filed under: Triticum aestivum (bread wheat)
Lineage: Eukaryota; Viridiplantae; Streptophyta; Magnoliopsida; Poales; Poaceae
Description: partial small subunit ribosomal RNA
Source: RNAcentral
AUGUACAAGUUGUACAAGAGCGAGCUGGACGCGAUCACGCCUGAGCAGGUGGAAUGGGAGCCGUAUGGAAAAGGAGAGAGUUUUGGUAACCCUAUAGAGUUCAGGCUGAAUCCGAUGUGCACUAGGGAUAGGGAUCUCUGGCAUAUGCGGUGCCCACUGAUAUGCAACUGGGCGGUUGAGCUUCACCUGCCACAUCGGGUGUUCCGCCAGUUUGGUUUGUUCCAGCCACACCCGCCAGAGUGGGAGGACACGGACAAGUUGCUACAUGCGUUGGAUAGGAUAAAGCAGCGGAAGAUCAAGGAUUGGGCCAAGCAUCACAGGAAGUAUGACAUACAGUUCGCGCUUUGUGUGGAGCAAGCCAGGGCUGGAAAACGAGCCCAGCUUCGUGAGCACUGCCCGAUCGCGUUCAACAACUAUCUCACAUGGUUUCUUGCAAGUACCUGUGUGGAGGUAUGCAAGCCGGCGUAUGCUGAGGAGAUUUUGGAAGAUCCCAACCAUUUUGAUGAGGUAGCCCAGCACCAGUACAACGCAUUAGUCAGGAAAGGCAACUCAGUGAUCCCUUCAGCUCCAAUGAUGAACUUUGUGCGUGCUCAGAUCAAGAAAGCAGCUGAUGAGACCGAGACUAUUCUGGAAACAACCCCGGUUGGCAAAAGCGAUGGGGAAGGUGCACUUCGAGCAUUCAUUAAGCGCCAGGGCCAAAAGUUAAGGCAGCUAUCAAACCUGUUCGGUUGUCGUGACCCCGAGUAUGUAUCACCAAAAUGGUCUAGGUCGGCGACACCAUCAGAUCCCACUUUGGGCCAGGGCCAUGUUGAUCCUUUGGAGGAUGAGGAUGUGGGUGUGGUCACCCAAGAGGUUGCUGAUGAUAUGACCUUGGGGACGUACCAGGUUCGGUCUGCAUACGAGUUAAAGCCUAGGAAGGGAAUCAACAAGUACACACCUGAAGACUUCACCCAAAGAGGCAAAAGGACGAUCGGCACCUCGCGGAUGGCGGCUUUGGAUGACUAUUUGGAUGAUGAUGUGGAUGACGUGGAGGAACCGCAGUCGGAGCCGGAGCGGGUUGCUCUUCCUAGGAAGGCGAAGAAGAUAUCCAGCAAGAGGGGGGAGGAGCCAAAAAGCACUCAAGGAACUAGUCAUCGUCCUCUAUUUUUAAUGGUAGCUCUAUGUUGGUGGUAG